Molecule: ribosomal RNA, 478 nt
Filed under: uncultured Erysipelothrix sp.
Lineage: Bacteria; Bacillati; Bacillota; Erysipelotrichia; Erysipelotrichales; Erysipelotrichaceae
Description: bacterial SSU rRNA
Rfam family: Bacterial small subunit ribosomal RNA
Source: RNAcentral
AAACUCAAAUGAAUUGACGGACCCCGCACAAGCGGUGGAUUAUGUUGUUUAAUUCGACGCAACGCGAGAACCUUACCAGGCCUUGACAUACUCGGCAAAGCUCUAGAGAUAGAGUGGAGGUUAUCCGGGAUACAGGUGGUGCAUGGUUGUCGUCAGCUCGUGUCGUGAGAUGUUGGGUUAAGUCCCGCAACGAGCGCAACCCUUGUCUUUAGUUACCAUCAUUCAGUUGGGGACUCUAGAGAGACUGCCGGUGAUAAACCGGAGGAAGGUGGGGAUGACGUCAAAUCAUCAUGCCCCUUAUGGCCUGGGCUACAAACGUAAUACAAUGGCGUAUACAAAGGGAUGCGAAAGGGCGACCUGGAGCAAAACUCACAAAGUACGUCUCAGUUCAGAUUGGAGUCUGCAACUCGACUCCAUGAAGGCGGAAUCGCUAGUAAUCGCGGAUCAGCAUGCCGCGGUGAAUACGUUCCCAGGCCUU